This 404-nucleotide ribosomal RNA is filed under the name Bacteroidota bacterium. RNAcentral's name for it is "Bacteroidetes bacterium partial 16S ribosomal RNA". It matches the Rfam family "Bacterial small subunit ribosomal RNA", at positions 355 to 776 of the family's 1533-position model. Lineage: Bacteria; Pseudomonadati; Bacteroidota. The record is from RNAcentral.
UGGGGAAUAUUGCACAAUGGGGGAAACCCUGAUGCAGCGACGCCGCGUGAGCGAUGAAGGCUUUCGAGUCGUAAAGCUCUGUCCUAUGGGAAGAUAAUGACGGUACCAUAGAAGAAAGCCCCGGCUAAUUACGUGCCAGCAGCCGCGGUAAUACGUAAGGGGCGAGCGUUGUCCGGAAUUAUUGGGCGUAAAGAGUGCGUAGGCGGCAAAUUAAGUCAGAUGUGAAAACUAAGGGCUCAACCCAUAGAUUGCAUCUGAAACUGAUAUGCUUGAGUCAAGGAGAGGAAAGUGGAAUUCCUAGUGUAGCGGUGGAAUGCGUAGAUAUAUGGAGGAACACCGGUGGCGAAAGCGGCUCUCUGGUCUGUAACUGACGCUGAGGCUCGAAAGCGUGGGGAGCGAACAGG